RNAcentral lists this unclassified non-coding RNA (271 nucleotides) under Hevea brasiliensis (rubber tree). Lineage: Eukaryota; Viridiplantae; Streptophyta; Magnoliopsida; Malpighiales; Euphorbiaceae. The record is from RNAcentral.
UAGUUAUUAAAGGUGCAAGGUGCAAUUUGACACCAAUGGUCCUAAUGCCUAGGCACAAGGCACACACCUGAGUAAGGCGAGGAACAAAAGUAAUUUAAAAAAUCCAAUAAAUGUGAAUUCUUGCAUAUAUUUCAAAUUACAGAAGCUAUUAUGUGAAAAUUUAUGGGUACAUUUCUAAUUAGUUCUUGCAUAUAUCUAAUGAUCUAAAAAAAUUAUUAAAUUGGCAUGUGAGAAAUUUGGAAAUUGAUUAUCCAAAUCGGGAUUAGCAAAG